This 460-nucleotide ribosomal RNA is filed under the name uncultured Saccharothrix sp. RNAcentral describes it as "bacterial SSU rRNA". It matches the Rfam family "Bacterial small subunit ribosomal RNA", at positions 47 to 507 of the family's 1533-position model. The record is from RNAcentral. Lineage: Bacteria; Bacillati; Actinomycetota; Actinomycetes; Pseudonocardiales; Pseudonocardiaceae.
CUUAAACACAUGCAAAGUCGAGCGAAGCUUUUCCUUCGGGGAAAGAAAUGACUUAGCGGCGAAACGGGGUGAGUAAACACGUGGGGCAAACCCUGCCCCUUAGCUCUGGGAUAAGCGAUGGAAACGUCGUCUAAUACCGGAUAUGACACGGGACGGCAUCAUCUCCGUGUGGAAAGAAUUUCGGCUAAGGAUGGGCCCGCGGCCUAUCAGCUUGUUGGUGGGGUAAUGGCCUACCAAGGCUACGACGGGUAACCGGCCUGAGAGGGCGACCGGUCACACUGGGACUGAGACACGGCCCAGACUCCUACGGGAGGCAGCAGUGGGGAAUAUUGCACAAUGGGCGAAAGCCUGAUGCAGCGACGCCGCGUGAGGGAUGACGGCCUUCGGGUUGUAAACCUCUUUCAGCAGGGACGAAGCGAAAGUGACGGUACCUGCAGAAGAAGCGCCGGCCAACUACGUG